This 463-nucleotide ribosomal RNA is filed under the name uncultured bacterium. RNAcentral describes it as "partial 16S ribosomal RNA". It matches the Rfam family "Bacterial small subunit ribosomal RNA", at positions 28 to 507 of the family's 1533-position model. The record is from RNAcentral.
GAUGAACGCUGACAGAAUGCUUAACACAUGCAAGUCGAUGGGGAAGUGGUGCUUGCACCAUGGUAACCAUGGCGGACGGGUGAGUAACGCGUAAGGAACUUACCUGCGGGACCGGGAUAACAGCAGGAAACUGCUGACAAGACCGGAUAAGGUCAUUAAGCUGCAUAGCUUAGUGAUGAAAGGAGACGCCUGCGGAGAGCCUUGCGUCCUAUUAGCUAGUUGGAGGGGUAACGGCCCACCAAGGCGAAGAUAGGUAGCCGGCCUGAGAGGGUGGACGGCCACAAGGGGACUGAGAUACGGCCCUUACUCCUAUGGGAGGCAGCAGUGGGGAAUAUUGGACAAUGGGGGCAACCCUGAUCCAGCAAUUCUGUGUGCACGAAGACGGUUUUCGGAGUGUAAAGUGCUUUCAGCAGGGAAGAAGGAAGUGACGGUACCUGCAGAAGAAGCGACGGCUAAAUACGUG